GACGAACGCUGGCGGCGUGCUUAACACAUGCAAGUCGAACGGAAAGGCCCUGCUUUUGUGGGGUGCUCGAGUGGCGAACGGGUGAGUAACACGUGAGUAACCUGCCCUUGACUUUGGGAUAACUUCAGGCAACUGGGGCUAAUACCUGAUAGGAGCUCCUGCUGCAUGGUGGGGGUUGGAACGUUUCGGCGGUUGGGGAUGGACUCGCGGCUUAUCAGCUUGUUGGUGGGGUAGUGGCUUACCAAGGCUUUGACGGGUAGCCGGCCUGAGAGGGUGACCGGCCACAUUGGGACUGAGAUACGGCCCAGACUCCUACGGGAGGCAGCAGGGGGGAAUAUUGCACAAUGGGCGGAAGCCUGAUGCAGAAACGCCGCGUGCGGGAUGACGGCCUUCGGGUUGGAAACCGCUUUCGCCUGUGACGAAGCGUGAGUGACGGUAAUGGGUAAAGAAGCACCGGCUAACUACGUG
RNAcentral lists this ribosomal RNA (468 nucleotides) under uncultured bacterium. Its description in RNAcentral is "partial 16S ribosomal RNA". It matches the Rfam family "Bacterial small subunit ribosomal RNA", at positions 28 to 507 of the family's 1533-position model. The record is from RNAcentral.